Small nucleolar RNA from Thunnus maccoyii (southern bluefin tuna), 210 nucleotides. RefSeq annotates it as small nucleolar RNA U3. The record is from RefSeq and is a predicted model, not a curated record. The transcript has a single exon. NCBI's taxonomy places the organism in Eukaryota, Metazoa, Chordata, Actinopteri, Scombriformes, Scombridae.
AAGACUUUCCUUUCAGAGAUAAAAUCUUUAGUUUUUGACUUGAGAAAUGUGUUUCUGAAGAGUUUGGUCUCACUGCUCAUGGUGAUGAAGUGUUAAGAUGUUUCCUUCCAAGCAGGAAACUGGUGGGGAAACAUUAUUUCUUCUCCAUUGUUGAAGACUGUUAAGUGUUGCUGAGAGAGACUCUGUUGGAGGAAAUGUUUUCUGAGAGGU